Long non-coding RNA from Syngnathoides biaculeatus (alligator pipefish), 1293 nucleotides. RefSeq lists it as uncharacterized. The transcript is spliced from 3 exons. The record is from RefSeq and is a predicted model, not a curated record. Lineage: Eukaryota; Metazoa; Chordata; Actinopteri; Syngnathiformes; Syngnathidae.
GCCAAGCACCAGGGUCCCCACGGGGCGACUCGGGUGGACGUCCCAAAGGAGGAACCCAAAGGCCAGCAGGAACCAGACGGGAGCAGGUCACUGCUCCGGAAGAAAACCUCCCAAGACAUGGUCGUGAGCCAGUGGCUGCCGCGGGUUGGUCAAAGCUGAGACAUGGAUGUGAAGCGGCCGUGGAUCUGUUGCCAUUGAGACGUGGUCAUCAUGCAUCUGAAGAUCAGUCUCCACCGAGGGGUGGUCAUCAGGUGGCCAAAGAUCGUUCGCCGUCAAGGCGUGGACAUGGUCAAAAGGCGGGUGAGGAUCAGUCACCCCUGAAGCGUGGUCAUCAUGCGACUGAGGAUCGGUUGGCAACAAGGCGUGGACGUGGUCAUCGAGCGACCAAGGAUUGGUCGCUGCUGAAGCGUGGUCAUCAGACGGGCAUUGUGGGGUCAGUUCCUCACCAGUCACGAACGCCACAGCACUCUUUGACUUUGUAGGUUAAGACGAGAGACUAAUCUCAUCAGACUCAAACAGAAAGAAAGAAGACUCCUGGACAGCGUCUCAACUAUUUGCUAAGUAUGUGUAAAGUUUGAAAAAAACUAUUAGUAUUGUGUGCAAUGUGGAUAGACAAUCUUCAUUCAUCAGUUUGUUAUUUGAGAAUCAUUUCAGGGUGGAUCUCCAGGAGCACAGAGGCAAGGUCUGAUUUGAACCCACGUCCUCAGAACUGUGAGGCAGGCAGAUCCAGUGGUUCAUCGUGGCACCUCUGCAUAAUAUCUUCAGAAUGUCCCAGGCAAGCUGGAGCCUAAUCGAGCUGAUCCUGGGUGGGAUGCGGGACACACCCUGAGCUGUUCGCCAGCCAGUUGCAGGGCAUAGCCGGCCUGAGACGGCCCUAAGGAUCCCUCUGGAAGAGCCGAACAAAGUGGCAUGGGAGAAGGAAGUCUACAUUUCCCAACUAAACCUGCUAUAACUACGACCUGACUCUGAAAAAGCAGAAAACAAUGGAUGGACGGAUGGAUACAUACAGUGCAUCUUUCUUUUUUUAAAUGUCCGGCUGCUACAGCAAAUACACCUCACAGAUUUGCAAAUCUAGCGAACAUGAAUGCCUCUCCUUCCAUGGCUCCUCUCCUUCCAAGCCAUGGCCCUGGAAAGAGUUCUAAUUAGAUGAGAUGCAUUGAUGCAUAUCCGGCAUAACAAGAGAGAGUCACUGAGGACUGGGUGCCUCACUGAAGUCACUCGUGUUGCUGUGGUGAUCAUAAGUAAUGUCACCUUAUAGGACGCAUUCAGGAGUCUACACAGCUGAUUAUUCUG